GAUGAACGCUGGCGGCGUGCCUAAUACAUGCAAGUCGAGCGAACAGAUAAGGAGCUUGCUCCUUUGACGUUAGCGGCGGACGGGUGAGUAACACGUGGGUAACCUACCUAUAAGACUGGAAUAACUCCGGGAAACCGGGGCUAAUGCCGGAUAACAUUUAGAACCGCAUGGUUCUAAAGUGAAAGAUGGUUUUGCUAUCACUUAUAGAUGGACCCGCGCCGUAUUAGCUAGUUGGUAGGGUAACGGCUUACCAAGGCAACGAUACGUAGCCGACCUGAGAGGGUGAUAGGCCACACUGGAGCUGGGACAGGGUCCAGACUCCUACGGGAGGCAGCAGUAGGGAAUCUGCCGCAAUGGGCGAAAGCCUGACGGAGCAACGCCGCGUGAGUGAUGAAGGUCUUCGGAUCGUAAAACUCUGUUAUUAGGGAAGAACAAAUGUGUAAGUAACUGUGCACGUCUUGACGGUACCUAAUCAGAAAGCCACGGCUAACUACGUG
This 497-nucleotide ribosomal RNA is filed under the name uncultured bacterium. RNAcentral describes it as "partial 16S ribosomal RNA". It matches the Rfam family "Bacterial small subunit ribosomal RNA", at positions 28 to 507 of the family's 1533-position model. The record is from RNAcentral.